This 1319-nucleotide long non-coding RNA is filed under the name Zostera marina. RNAcentral's name for it is "long non-coding RNA (ZMAR_LNC000146)". Lineage: Eukaryota; Viridiplantae; Streptophyta; Magnoliopsida; Alismatales; Zosteraceae. The record is from RNAcentral.
AUGGGGAAGAGAGAAAGAAAAAAAGGUCAGAUCGUAAAUUCGUAAUCUUUGACGAUAUAUAUUAUCUGAAAAAUAUUUACCGUGUAUAUAUGCGUCGUCAUUUCAAUCGUCACCUACAUUUAACAUCUAACAUUCACAACGCACUUAUUACUUAACUGACCCUGGUGAAAAUCUCGAGAUUUUACUAGACAAUUCUAACCGCAUCAUUUUCCAUAGUGUGUAACAUUAAUUAACUAUUUCACUAUUAUUUUUAUAAUUACAUUUAUUAAUAGUAUACGGUCCAUGUCAGGGUUCUUACGAGAACCAUCUUCUAUCACGUCCGUUCGUUUUGAAGAUGAACCAGGACUGUCGAUUGUCAUUGGUUAAAACCAAGUAUCAGGUACCAGAUGUCCUAGUAGCAUAAAUUUCAAAAUUUAUCACAUUUUCGUUUCAUUUCCUACUCUCCUUCCAAAAUCGUUCUUCGAGCCGGCGAUAUUCGUGUUCUCUGACAGCUUUUCUCCCGUCGAUCUCCGCUUAUCUUCUUUUCUCGAACCGGAACUGCUCCCCGUCGUUCCGUCGUUGUAGGCGAAGACGAGACUAACCCGUCCGUUAAAAAAACCCAGGUAUGUUACUGUGGAAAAAAUCAAAACCCUUUUUUUCCGAGAAAAAUCACAGGUCUCCGCUCCUGUAAAAAAAAGAAAAUCCAUUAUUCCUAUACGUUCCAUCUUCUUCAACAGUUUGUUUUAUUUUUAUCACAGUUGUUUGAUCUGUUCGACAUUUCUUCUUCUUCAACAACUUGUUUUAUUUUUUAGACCCCCCUCCCCAUUAUUUCUAUACGUUUUAAUAUUUAUGUGGUCGGUUACUAAAAAUGAAUAACCGUUUUUGAUGAAAACACUAGUUGAUCCUAUAAAAAUGAGUAUAGUUUCAUUCAAAAAAAAUUUGUUCGCUCCAUUGAGUUUCUAUAUCAUCAUAUUUGGUUUUUUUUUUAAGUUUUAAAAACACUGUUGUAUUCAAUUUCUUUGUUUUUCUGUUUGGUUCUUAUUGGAUUUAGCACGACGAUGGACGGAGUUGGGGAAGAUGAUCGGAGUUGGGAAAGAAGAUGUGGAAAUCCGUUUGAGAGAAUGAAUUGGUUUAUUUGAGUUACAUGUAUACCUAUUUAUAACCUUCUAACUACUAAUUAUUGUAACUAACUCUCUUUAAAAUCAGUUACUUCAAUAGUUCUUGUAAUGGGUUUUUGUUUUCCUUUAUUCUGUUUGUUAUUAGUCUCUUAAUGAAUUGUUUAUUUCUAUUUUUUGUUUAUUUCUUAUAAAUCGUAUGUAUGUUUAUUUUCCUGUUUCAAA